AGGGGGUUGAGUUAAAAAAAACUAAUAAUCUUCAAAAUUUUCUAUAAAAAAAAUUCUUUACCCCCUU
RNAcentral lists this transfer RNA (67 nucleotides) under Tapena vasava (tawny angle). RNAcentral's name for it is "Ctenoptilum vasava (tawny angle) tRNA-Trp". Lineage: Eukaryota; Metazoa; Arthropoda; Insecta; Lepidoptera; Hesperiidae. The record is from RNAcentral.